RNAcentral lists this ribosomal RNA (627 nucleotides) under Lyngbya martensiana AUS-JR/MT/NT-124. RNAcentral's name for it is "bacterial SSU rRNA". It matches the Rfam family "Bacterial small subunit ribosomal RNA", at positions 139 to 799 of the family's 1533-position model. Lineage: Bacteria; Bacillati; Cyanobacteriota; Cyanophyceae; Oscillatoriales; Microcoleaceae. The record is from RNAcentral.
GAGGGGAACAGAGGGAACUUCUGCUAAUACCCGAUGUGCCGCAAGGUGAAAGAUUUAUUGCCUGAAGAUGAGCUCGCGUCCGAUUAGCUAGUUGGAGUGGUAAGAGCACACCAAGGCGACGAUCGGUAGCUGGUCUGAGAGGAUGACCAGCCACACUGGGACUGAGACACGGCCCAGACUCCUACGGGAGGCAGCAGUGGGGAAUUUUCCGCAAUGGGCGAAAGCCUGACGGAGCAAGACCGCGUGAGGGAGGAAGGCUCUUGGGUUGUAAACCUCUUUUCUCUGGGAAGAAGAUCUGACGGUACCAGAGGAAUCAGCAUCGGCUAACUCCGUGCCAGCAGCCGCGGUAAUACGGAGGAUGCAAGCGUUAUCCGGAAUUAUUGGGCGUAAAGCGUCCGUAGGUGGCGGUUCAAGUCUGCCGUUAAAACCAGUAGCUUAACUACUGACAGGCGGUGGAAACUGAACAGCUAGAGUGUGGUAGGGGUAGAGGGAAUUCCCAGUGUAGCGGUGAAAUGCGUAGAGAUUGGGAAGAACACCGGUGGCGAAAGCGCUCUGCUGGACCACAACUGACACUCACAGGACGAAAGCUAGGGGAGCGAAAGGGAUUAGAUACCCUUGUAGUCAAAA